Molecule: ribosomal RNA, 428 nt
Filed under: uncultured bacterium
Lineage: Bacteria
Description: bacterial SSU rRNA
Rfam family: Bacterial small subunit ribosomal RNA
Source: RNAcentral
UGGGGAAUCUUGCGCAAUGCGCGAAAGCGUGACGCAGCAACGCCGCGUGAGGGAAGAAGGCCUUCGGGUUGUAAACCUCUUUCAGGAGGGACGAAGGUUCGGCGGUGAAUAGCCGUCCGGACUGACGGUACCUCCAGAAGAAGCCCCGGCUAACUACGUGCCAGCAGCCGCGGUAAUACGUAGGGGGCUAGCGUUGUCCGGAAUCAUUGGGCGUAAAGCGCGCGUAGGCGGCCCGGUAAGUCCGUUGUAAAAGUCAAAGGCUCAACCUUUGAAAGCCGAUGGAUACUGCCGGGCUAGAGUCCGGAAGAGGCGAGUGGAAUUCCUGGUGUAGCGGUGGAAUGCGCAGAUAUCAGGAGGAACACCUAUAGCGAAGGCAGCUCGCUGGGACGGUACUGACGCUGAGGCGCGAAAGCGUGGGGAGCGAACAG